AAAAUUAUGAGUGACAUUCAAAUUUAUUUUCAUUAGAACAUUUAGGUGCCCUUUUAAGUAGUCCUGAUUUGUCCUAAGGUUAUGGCAUUCCAUGUUCAAAUAGGAAAGGGGGGCUGCAAAUGUGAUGGAGAGGUAGGCAGGCACACUUGGCACAUUUGUGUUUUCUAAUGUGCUUUGUGUGGUCUGAAGCAAACCACACAGUGGCAAAAGUGAGUGUAGAAAACCCCAUGUCUCCUGGUCUUCUAACAAGUUGACCUGUGUGCCAGAGUGGACAAGGAUGGAAAAUUCUUCAAAGAAAAACAAAUGUUGGCCGGGUGCGGUGGCUCCCGCCUGUAAUCCCAGCAUUUUGGGAGGCCGAGACUGGCGGAUUGCCUGAGCUCAGGAGUUCGCGACCAGCUUGGGCAAACAGGGUGAAACCCUGUCUCUGCGAAAAUACAAAAAAAAUUAGCCGGGCGAGGCCGCGUGCGCCUGUAGUCCCAGCUACUAGAGUCGCUGAGGCAGGAGAAUGGCGUGAACCCGGGAGGCGGAGGUUGCAGUGAGCCGAGAUCGCGCCACUGCAAAAAAAAAAAAAAAAAAAAAAAAAAAAAGACAAGAAAGAAUAAAAGGAAUAUUAUGGGAAACACCUUUAUAAAUCCAAAUUUGUAAUGGAUUAAGGCUAUAAGGAAUCCUAUUCACGUAGUUCUCGUGCUGCUAAUGUUGUUUUAAAAUUCAGAAUUAAUGUUACUUCUCUUCUAGAUAUCUGAUGCCCUAAAAAAUUGCCCCACAUCACAGGAAAAACACCUAUGACGGUUUCAUAUGUGUCAUGCUCUAACCCUUUACUUAGUGUUUUCGGGUUCCAUGUGAGAAUUACAAUAUAGCUUAAAAAUGUGUGAGCUUCAAAUUCAUCUGUGUUAUUACCAAACUGUAAACGAUUUUAUGACUGUUAUACAAGUUCGAUAUGGACAGAGACUGCAAAUACAGGUUUGUGUUCGCUGUCUUUCAGGUAAUUAGAUUCAAAACGACUCCCUCCUGUAAAAUCAGAAUGACCCCCUAACCCCAGAGCUGGAGUCCACCAUUUAUAUCCAAGCAACAAAACGAC
Molecule: long non-coding RNA, 1078 nt
Filed under: Homo sapiens (human)
Lineage: Eukaryota; Metazoa; Chordata; Mammalia; Primates; Hominidae
Description: HSALNT0087134
Source: RNAcentral